GUGCCAGCAGCCGCGGUAACACGUAGGGGGCGAGCGUUGUUCGGAAUCAUUGGGCGUAAAGGGCGCGCAGGCGGCCGUGUAAGUCUGGUGUAAAAUGGUUGUGCUCAACACAAUCAUGCGCUGGAAACUGCGGGGCUUGAGUCAACGAGGGGAUGCCGGAAUUCCAGGUGUAGGGGUGAAAUCUGUAGAUAUCUGGAAGAACACCAGUGGCGAAGGCAGGCAUCUGGCGACUGACUGACGCUGAGGCGCGAAGGUGCGGGGAGCAAACAGGUUUAGAUACCCUGGUAGUCCGCACAGUAAACGAUGUGCACCAGGUGGCGGGCAGCAGUGCUCGGUACCGAAGCAAACGCAUUAAGUGCACCGCCUGGGGAGUAUGCCCGCAAGGGUGAAACUCAAAGGAAUUGACGGGGGCCCGCACAAGCGGUGGAGCAUGUGGUUUAAUUCGACGAUACGCGAGAAACCUUACCAGGGCUUGACAUACACCGGAAUAUGGCGGAAACGUCAUAGCUGCUUGCAGUCGGUGAACAGGUGCUGCAUGGCUGUCGUCAGCUCGUGCUGUGAAGUGUUGGGUUAAGUCCCGCAACGAGCGCAACCCCUGCCUUCUGUUACCAUCAUUCAGUUGGGGACUCAGAAGGAACUGCCGGUGACAAACCGGAGGAAGGUGGGGACGACGUCAAGUCAUCAUGGCCCUUACGUCCUGGGCCACACACGUGCUACAAUGGCCGGUACAGAGUGCUGCGAAUCCGGAAGGAGGAGCGAAUCACAAAAAGCCGGUCUCAGUACGGACUGGAGUCUGCAACCCGACUCCACGAAGUUGGAAUCGCUAGUAAUCCCGUAUCAGCAUGACGGGGUGAAUACGUUCCCGGGCCUUGUACACACCGCCCGU
RNAcentral lists this ribosomal RNA (886 nucleotides) under uncultured bacterium. Its description in RNAcentral is "bacterial SSU rRNA". It matches the Rfam family "Bacterial small subunit ribosomal RNA", at positions 505 to 1397 of the family's 1533-position model. The record is from RNAcentral.